Long non-coding RNA from Rhipicephalus microplus (southern cattle tick), 351 nucleotides. NCBI's taxonomy places the organism in Eukaryota, Metazoa, Arthropoda, Arachnida, Ixodida, Ixodidae. The record is from RefSeq and is a predicted model, not a curated record.
AGGUUGCCAGGACCGAAAAGACGUCCAAUAUAUACUGGACCUGCUCCUGAAAACCAGAGACAAGUUUCAAAGAUGAAUGAAAAGUUUGCCAUACUAGCAAAACUUCCCAAGAUGUUUCCGCAUGGAGUUCCGAAUGGACCGAUCCGACUCCCACAAAGAAUGCAAGCCAUGUUUUCCAAGAAACCUUCACGUGGGUAUUUUGAAGACUUUUAAUUUUUGUAAGAGGAACAAUGAGCUGAAACUUCGCAUUGCCGCGGAGUAGAUGGCGAAUAUUUGCCUGGUCGUCAUGUUGUCAGCAUUGCCACCGCAAUCUCUGAGUUAAUCACAGAUUUGGCUAUAGUCAAGAGAAUA